UGCUGAUCCUUAGUUCCUGGGGGACUUCAUUACACAGUCUUGGACUGGUCCCCAAGAAAGCUCUGUCUCCUUUACAGAUGAACUUUACUCUUAUUGUGGAAAGUUCCAUUGUGCCAGAGGAGAGAAGUUAUGGACCAUGGUCCUCAAUGUGGAGCUUCAGUCCAUCUUUUAGAUACCUUGAAGCAGCAGACACGGCUACUGGCUGCACCCAGGCCCUGACACGGAGUUGCCCGGACAGACCAGCUUAUAAAACGAUGCACAGACUUGGACUUCCCUUGUGGCCGUGGCAGCGAUUGAUGGGCUGCAGGCUGCGUUGCCAAGCAAUAAUACCUGCUGAGAGGGAUCCAGAGGUCCCAGCGUGCGCAGCAGUAUCAGGAGGUGGAGGAGACAGCAGAGGUCGCUGAGAGAUGGUUCUGCUCCUGGGACACGUUCUGUCUGUCGUCUGGGCAGCUUCUUCUCUUUGAGGUACUGUUAUCUCUCUGUGAUUGGGGGAGUGAGGUCUUCAUCAGCCUAAUCCUGCCAAGUAUCGUCCUUCCCUGGAACCUGGAAAAACAACAAUAAAAGCCCUUAAUCACCUAA
This is a long non-coding RNA of Caretta caretta (loggerhead turtle), 579 nucleotides long. RefSeq lists it as uncharacterized. The record is from RefSeq and is a predicted model, not a curated record. NCBI's taxonomy places the organism in Eukaryota, Metazoa, Chordata, Testudines, Cheloniidae.